AGUCGUAACAAGGUUUCCGUAGGUGAACCUGCGGAAGGAUCAUUAAAGAGUAAGGGUGCUCAGCGCCCGACCUCCAACCCUUUGUUGUUAAAACUACCUUGUUGCUUUGGCGGGACCGCUCGGUCUCGAGCCGCUGGGGAUUCGUCCCAGGCGAGCGCCCGCCAGAGUUAAACCAAACUCUUGUUAUUUAACCGGUCGUCUGAGUUAAAAUUUUGAAUAAAUCAAAACUUUCAACAACGGAUCUCUUGGUUCUCGCAUCGAUGAAGAACGCAGCGAAAUGCGAUAAGUAAUGUGAAUUGCAGAAUUCAGUGAAUCAUCGAAUCUUUGAACGCACAUUGCGCCCCUUGGUAUUCCGAGGGGCAUGCCUGUUCGAGCGUCAUUACACCACUCAAGCUAUGCUUGGUAUUGGGCGUCGUCCUUAGUUGGGCGCGCCUUAAAGACCUCGGCGAGGCCACUCCGGCUUUAGGCGUAGUAGAAUUUAUUCGAACGUCUGUCAAAGGAGAGGAACUCUGCCGACUGAAACCUUUAUUUUUCUAGGUUGACCUCGGAUCAGGUAGGGAUACCCGCUGAACUUAAGCAUAUCAAUAAGCGGAGGAAAAGAAACCAACAGGGAUUGCCCUAGUAACGGCGAGUGAAGCGGCAACAGCUCAAAUUUGAAAGCUAGCCUUCGGGUUCGCAUUGUAAUUUGUAGAGGAUGAUUUG
This 702-nucleotide unclassified non-coding RNA is filed under the name Aureobasidium pullulans. Its description in RNAcentral is "sequence contains 18S rRNA gene, ITS1, 5.8S rRNA gene, ITS2, 28S rRNA gene". The stretch from base 226 to 379 matches the Rfam family "5.8S ribosomal RNA". Lineage: Eukaryota; Fungi; Ascomycota; Dothideomycetes; Dothideales; Saccotheciaceae. The record is from RNAcentral.